RNAcentral lists this ribosomal RNA (853 nucleotides) under uncultured archaeon. RNAcentral describes it as "bacterial SSU rRNA". It matches the Rfam family "Archaeal small subunit ribosomal RNA", at positions 29 to 882 of the family's 1478-position model. The record is from RNAcentral.
GCUAUUGGAGUUCGAUUAAGCCAUGCGAGUCGCGAGAAAUUAGAUUCUCGGCGUACCGCUCAGUAACACGUGGGUAACCUGCCCUAUGCUGGAUAAUAACCUCGGGAAACUGAGUAUAAUGAUCCAUAGUUCACUACGCCUGGAACGGUGAGUGGAUGAAAGCUCCGGCGGCAUAGGAUGGGCCUGCGGCGUAUCAGGUAGUAGGGGGUGUAACGUACCCUCUAGCCCUCUACGCGUACGGGUGUUGGGAGACAUAGCCCGGAGAUGGAUUCUGAGACACGAAUCCAGACCCUACGGGGUGCAGCAGGCGCGAAAACUUGGCAAUGCGAGAAAUCGUGACCAGGGAACUCCAAGUGCAUCGGGUAAGACCGGUGCUUUUCUUGACUCUAAAUAGGUCUUGGAAUAAGGGGUGGGUAAGGACGGUGCCAGCCGCCGCGGUAAUACCGGCGCCUCAAGUGGUAGUCGCUUUUAUUGGGCCUAAAACGUCCGUAGCCGGUCUGAUACAUUCGUGGGUAAAUCAACCAGCUCAACUGGUUGAAUUCUGCGAGGACGGUCAGACUUGGGACCGGGAGAGGUGUGGGGUACGCUCAGGGUAGGGGUAAAAUCCUGUCAUCCUGAGCGGACCACCUGUUGCGAAGGCGCCACACUAGAACGGAUCCGACGGUCAGGGACGAAGCCUAGGGGCACGAACCGGAUUAGAUACCCGGGUAGUCCUAGGUGUAAACGCUGUGGACUUGAUGUUGGGGGUGCUCCGAGCACUCUCAGUGUCGAAGCGAAGGUGAUAAGUCCACUGCCUGGGAAGUACGGUCGCAAGGCUGAAACUUAACCACGCGAAUUGGCGGGGGAGCACCGC